This 460-nucleotide ribosomal RNA is filed under the name uncultured bacterium. RNAcentral's name for it is "partial 16S ribosomal RNA". It matches the Rfam family "Bacterial small subunit ribosomal RNA", at positions 338 to 795 of the family's 1533-position model. The record is from RNAcentral.
CCUACGGGUGGCAGCAGUGAGGAAUAUUGGUCAAUGGCCGUAAGGCUGAACCAGCCAAGUCGCGUGAAGGAAGAAGGAUCUAUGGUUUGUAAACUUCUUUUAUGGGGGAAUAAAGGUAUCCACGUGUGGAUAUUUGCAUGUACCCUAUGAAUAAGCAUCGGCUAACUCCGUGCCAGCAGCCGCGGUAAUACGGAGGAUGCGAGCGUUAUCCGGAUUUAUUGGGUUUAAAGGGUGCGUAGCUGGUCUUUUAAGUCAGCUGUGAAAGUUUGUGGCUCAACCAUAAAACUGCCGUUGAAACUGGAAGUCUUGAGUGUGGUUGAGGUAGGCGGAAUGCGUGGUGUAGCGGUGAAAUGCAUAGAUAUCACGCAGAACUCCGAUUGCGAAGGCAGAUUACUAAGCCAUAACUGACACUGAAGCACGAAAGCGUGGGGAGCAAACAGGAUUAGAUACCCGAGUAGUC